AAAAAAAAAAAAAAAAAAACCUCUAGAACCAUCACUAGAGUUCUCCUUUAUUGAUGUCGAAAAACCUAAAUAAAUAAAAUUCAAUUGGAACAGCUAACUAGGACCAUCUCAUGAAAAACCAUUCUGGCCACUUUUUAACUAUGCUGACUGAUAAUUUUUUUAUUGUGAAGAAAGAAAUGAAAGAAAAUAUAUUUAUGUCCAACAUUUUUGUGCAGGUAUUUCGUGAUAACCAAUUU
This 236-nucleotide unclassified non-coding RNA is filed under the name Hevea brasiliensis (rubber tree). The record is from RNAcentral. Lineage: Eukaryota; Viridiplantae; Streptophyta; Magnoliopsida; Malpighiales; Euphorbiaceae.